UGGUUUCCCGUAAAUGAGGCUGUGUGAUCAGCAGCUGAGCUUCUGGACUCCAGGAUUUUGAAGAAAUUGAUUUGGAGGGCAGUUUUACCCUGUGCCUAGGAGCCGGACAUGCCGGCAACUUCUGGGAGCCACACGGAGCCAGGACAGGCAGGGAGCCUGCCUGAGCUAUGCUACUUUGGGUGACGCCCACUGCUAACACUUCAGGUACAACAAUGGAAAAGUCAGACAGGGUGGAUGGCCCAUCACCGAGGACAAUGGACUGUGAAAAGGCUUGACCGGAGCCACUGACUCAUGGAGGCUGUGAUACUACAGAGUCAGGUGGUCUUGUCACCUGAUACUAAACAUUACCUGGGACUUCUUGUAACUUUCCACUGGAAGGGCUGGGACGGGGAGGGCGGGGGGGGGGGAGGUCAAGUCUGGGAAACAAAGAAUUCCCAUCUUAUGUAAAUCCUAUUUAAGGGUGAGGAGGAAGGCAAACGUGACUCAUCCUCUCCGUGGCCUGUCUGCCCAAGAAGAAAGACUGCUAAAAACACCUGAAGGGAAGGCAGUGAGGGAGUCAGUCUUAAAAGAUUUCAGA
This is a long non-coding RNA of Dermochelys coriacea (leatherback sea turtle), 577 nucleotides long. RefSeq lists it as uncharacterized. NCBI's taxonomy places the organism in Eukaryota, Metazoa, Chordata, Testudines, Dermochelyidae. The record is from RefSeq and is a predicted model, not a curated record. The transcript is spliced from 3 exons.